Molecule: unclassified non-coding RNA, 22 nt
Filed under: Mus musculus (house mouse)
Lineage: Eukaryota; Metazoa; Chordata; Mammalia; Rodentia; Muridae
Description: oocyte_clustered_small_RNA420
Source: RNAcentral
UGAGACUAUGGCCGGGGCCUAG